CAACCCUCAAGCUCUGCUUGGUAUUGGGCGACGUCUGCUGCUAGACGCGCCUGGAAGACCUCGGCGACGGCAUUCCAGCCUUGAGCGUAGUAGUAAAAUAUCUCGCUUUGGAGGAUGGGGUGACGGCUUGCCGGACAACCGACCUCUGGUCAUUUUUUCCAA
RNAcentral lists this unclassified non-coding RNA (162 nucleotides) under uncultured Phyllosticta. RNAcentral describes it as "sequence contains ITS2". Lineage: Eukaryota; Fungi; Ascomycota; Dothideomycetes; Botryosphaeriales; Phyllostictaceae. The record is from RNAcentral.